CCCUACGGGGGGCAGCAGUGGGGAAUAUUGCUCAAUGGGGGAAACCCUGAAGCAGCAACGCCGCGUGAAGGAAGAAGGCCUUCGGGUUGUAAACUUCUUUGAUUGGGGACGAAGAAGACGGUACCCAAGGAACAAGCCACGGCUAACUACGUGCCAGCAGCCGCGGUAAUACGUAGGUGGCAAGCGUUGUCCGGAAUUACUGGGCGUAAAGGGCGUGUAGGCGGGGAAGAAAGUCGGAAGUGAAAUCCCAUGGCUUAACUGUGGAGCUGCUUCUGAAACUUCUUUUCUUGAGUGCUGGAGAGGAAAGUGGAAUUCCAAGUGUAGCGGUGAAAUGCGUAGAGAUUUGGAGGAACACCAGUGGCGAAGGCGGCUUUCUGGACAGUAACUGACGCUGAGGCGCGAAAGCGUGGGGAGCAAACAGGAUUAGAUACCCCGGUAGA
RNAcentral lists this ribosomal RNA (440 nucleotides) under uncultured bacterium. Its description in RNAcentral is "bacterial SSU rRNA". It matches the Rfam family "Bacterial small subunit ribosomal RNA", at positions 337 to 794 of the family's 1533-position model. The record is from RNAcentral.